Danio rerio (zebrafish) is the source of this 498-nucleotide non-coding RNA. Lineage: Eukaryota; Metazoa; Chordata; Actinopteri; Cypriniformes; Danionidae. The record is from RefSeq and is a predicted model, not a curated record.
GAUCCUGCAUUUGGAGAUUUGAGAAUUGUCGUCUUUUCCUCUGAAAUCCUCUUUGCUUCAUCUCUGCUGGUUUUACAAGUAUUUGCACCUUACACAGCAAUGAGAACAAUUCUGCAGACAUGUCAGAGUGGAGGAUCUGAUGAAGUGCCAGCCAAUGAAUUAAACCAGAAUACAGCAGAAUCUCAUGAAAUGAAUCCUCUACUGAGUCAGGAUCAAGAGGCUGGUAGGAGAGAUAUGACUAAGGAAAAUCAGCUGGAUUCAGUGAAUAUACAAACUCAUGUAAACAGUCAGUCCUGUGAAAUGUGGACAAACGGUGUGUUUCAGCAUUACAGUUGAUCUCUUCAACCUGCUACCCGCAGUGUCAUUGUUUACUAAAGAGUAAAGGAAAAAGAAAGUCAUCCACUGCUGUUGACAAAAUUUUUAAAGUUUCAAUAGGAGUUGGCAUCUUCAUUUAUGCAUUUAUGGUUGUGCUUCUUACUAAAAUGUUUUAUUUAUUAU